This is a long non-coding RNA of Homo sapiens (human), 574 nucleotides long. RefSeq lists it as uncharacterized. The transcript has 3 exons. Lineage: Eukaryota; Metazoa; Chordata; Mammalia; Primates; Hominidae. The record is from RefSeq and is a predicted model, not a curated record.
GUUAUCCUCUCGCCUCAGCCUCCCAAAGUGCUGGGAUUACAGGAGGCAAGGUUGUCUGGUGAGAGUACAUGGGAAAGGAGAUGGAAGGUUGGAGGUGAGAGCAAAGAAGGUUUGCUGCAGAAGUUGUGGAGAGAGGGAAGACAAGACAAGGAGAGAAAUAUGACGGCUGCCAAGGAGGAUUAGCACCCAGGUGGAGCAGUUUCGACAUGACAGCUCGCCAGUUUCACAAUGCAUACCUUCCUUAUCAGAGACCGUUGAUGAUGGAGAUGCUCUGGCCAGUCUAUAGAGAAUGCACAGAGGAUUUUCGGUCCUCUGCUUCACCUUCUGAUGUCAGAAGGCUGAAAACUCCACACUCAGAUUAUGCUAAUGCUGCCAUUUGUGUACAUGUGACCCAUGAAGAGGUAUGAAGCUCAAGUGCACAUGCAUGCUUCUCCUUUCAUAAACAUUAAUGAUUCCUCCUAUUACUUAUUAAAUAUGUAUAUUUGGCCACUAUGCUCAGCAUACAUUCCUGUCUUAUGCUUCCUUCCCUUAAGGUGCCUAUUUCUGGCUUCUGGCUGGAGGCUACACUUCCCAG